This is a non-coding RNA of Oncorhynchus mykiss (rainbow trout), 1482 nucleotides long. The record is from RefSeq and is a predicted model, not a curated record. Lineage: Eukaryota; Metazoa; Chordata; Actinopteri; Salmoniformes; Salmonidae.
ACUCCAUGUUUGAUGUCUUUACAAUCACAGAGAGCUGUUGACUGACUCCAGGUUUAAUGACUUUACAAUCACAGAGAGCUGUUGACUGACUCCAUGUUUGAUGUCUUUCAACCACCAAAGUUGUUCUUCUUUGGACAACCGUUCUAAAACCAUGAAAGGGCUUUUUGGUUUCUUCUUCUUCAGUGUCUGAUAAGAGAACAUUCUAGUGUUUCUAUGCAAAAGGAAACAUGCUUUAUUUGACCGUGGAAAGAUCCAGUAUCUCCAAUAUUAUUCCAAAGGACUUGACUUUACAAUAAGACCAUGGAAGACUAUCAGUCUGUGGAUGAUGUGUUUUAUAAAUGGUUUUGAUAAAUAAUACUCUGGAUUCAUGCAUGUGUUGUCUGUUUACCUUAAGCCAUGAAAUGGAGGAAGAACCUUGAAUAAGGCAGAGGCAUCUUUGAACAGUGAUACAAUUCAGAUAGUAGAAUCAGUGACCCCUGCUGGUUGGAAUAUGACAUUGCAGGAUGGUGAUGAAUAAACUGGAGGCUGGCUGGCUGGCUGAAGGAUGGAUGAACACAAUGGACUCAACUUCCACAUUGUUCUGUUCAUAAGUCAUCAGUCUUUGGUCUACGCACCACAAACACAUCAAGUAUCUACUAUUAAAUGUGGGCUGGGUUUUCACUGUUGGAAAUGGAUGGACUGCUUCAGGAAAAACCUUCAAGUCACAUAUCAUAUAUGCAAUCUAAGACUUACUAAACCAGUUGACUUAGUUGGCUUACUGCAAAACAAGAACCAUUACUGACCACCUACUUCUGUGUUGGACUAUUAGGUGGAACAGUCAUUCUGUUAGAAGGAACAACGUUACAAUGUGUUGAUAUCAGGAUCUCCAAGGUGUCUUUCAUCUGAGUUUUACUGUUUGACUCCAAAGACUCUUAUGAUGGUUUAUAGCUUUCAGCUAAAUUCAUGCAUUAAAUUAUUAUAUUUUUCAUGGCAUAAUCUGUUCUUUCUAAUUCAAAUGACUUGAAUGAAAUGAUUAUAAAAUGCAUCAUUGAGAAUAAUAGGGUGGGAUACUACUAGUAUUGCUGCUGGACAUUAAACACUACUGUCAUAUUUUCUAAGUGGUGUUUUUUAUCAGUCUGUCCCUUUCACUUUGACAGUGAUGCUCUAAUGAUGUCAUAUCAUCAUGUGGUAACUGUCCUCAUGAUGCAGUAUUGUUGAUAAAAGAUGCUGUUGCCCAUGUGUAUGUAUGUAAUGUGAUUGACAUGUCCUGAGUCCUGUGUGUCUCCUGUGUGUCUGGCUUGGCUUGUGUCCCACAUGGUACCCUUUAACCCUAUGUAGUGCACUACUUUUGACCAGGGCCCAUAGGGAAUAGGGAACCAUUUGGAACACCGACUGAGAGUCUAGGAGGCAAUAUGAUUCUCACAGCACAGUUUGAUUGACAUGUAGGAUAAUCUGCAAUGGAUCAAUAAUAAUACAAUGAAUAAACCUCCCCUUUAUUUUAAA